RNAcentral lists this ribosomal RNA (115 nucleotides) under Pseudoxanthomonas sp. JBR18. Lineage: Bacteria; Pseudomonadati; Pseudomonadota; Gammaproteobacteria; Lysobacterales; Lysobacteraceae. The record is from RNAcentral. RNAcentral also lists the same sequence under 1 other name.
CCUGGUGAAAUUAGCGCUGUGGUCCCACCCGUUCCCAUCCCGAACACGGAAGUGAAACGCAGUUGCGCCGAUGGUAGUGUGGCUUAAGCCAUGCAAGAGUAGGUCAUCGCCAGGG